This 459-nucleotide ribosomal RNA is filed under the name uncultured bacterium. Its description in RNAcentral is "partial 16S ribosomal RNA". It matches the Rfam family "Bacterial small subunit ribosomal RNA", at positions 338 to 795 of the family's 1533-position model. The record is from RNAcentral.
CCUACGGGAGGCAGCAGUGAGGAAUAUUGGUCAAUGGCCGAAAGGCUGAACCAGCCAAGUCGCGUGAGGGACGAAGGUGCUACGGAUUGUAAACCUCUUUUGUCAGGGAACAAAAUGAGGCACGAGUGCCUGAUCGAGGGUACCUGAAGAAAAAGCAUCGGCUAACUCCGUGCCAGCAGCCGCGGUAAUACGGAGGAUGCGAGCGUUAUCCGGAUUUAUUGGGUUUAAAGGGUGCGUAGGCGGCCGUGUAAGUCAGCGGUAAAAGUGCGGGGCUCAACCCCGUACCGCCGUUGAAACUGGAUCUCUUGAGGUGGCGAGAGGUAUGCGGAAUGCGCGGUGUAGCGGUGAAAGGCUUAGAUAUCGCGCAGAACUCCGAUUGCGAAGGCAGCAUACCGGCGGGCAACUGACGCUCAUGCACGAAAGCGUGGGUAUCGAACAGGAUUAGAUACCCGAGUAGUC